RNAcentral lists this ribosomal RNA (301 nucleotides) under uncultured bacterium. Its description in RNAcentral is "partial 16S ribosomal RNA". It matches the Rfam family "Bacterial small subunit ribosomal RNA", at positions 509 to 807 of the family's 1533-position model. The record is from RNAcentral.
CAGCCGCCACGGGAAAACGAAGGGGGCUAGCGUUACUCGGAAUUACUGGGCGUAAAGGGCGCGUAGGCGGCACGAUUAGUCAGGCGUGAAAUUCCUGGGCUCAACCUGGGGACUGCGCUUGAUACGGUCGAGCUAGAGGAUGGAAGAGGGUUGUGGAAUUCCCAGUGUAGAGGUGAAAUUCGUAGAUAUUGGGAAGAACACCGGUGGCGAAGGCGGCAACCUGGUCCAUUACUGACGCUGAGGCGCGACAGCGUGGGGAGCAAACAGGAUUAGAUACCCCAGUAGUCCCUGUCUCUUAUAC